UUUUAUCUUUCAGCUUAUUCAGCAAAAAUAGUUAGUAUGAAAUUUUUUAUUUUUGUGUAUAGUAAUUAUAGUCCGAGAUUACUCUGACGUCCAACGGCUGUUUUGCCAGACAAGCUGGGGCCGUGGGAUGUCAGAGCUCGUCCCAUAUCAAAAAGUUGAUAUUUGCCCACCCAAAAUAGAUGCGCUGCUUCGUCGCUUCAGGUGCCGAUUGAGGGCAUUGGAAUUAUAUAAAUCGGGCAUCAAUCUGUUCAUUUUUCAUUUAUCUCUUCAUUUAUGUAAGUUUCACCUACCUGCCAACCUUUAUUUUCCCAUAUUUUAACAGUUUUCACAGAGACCCAUCGAUUUCUGCAUUCUAACUUUCACUUUCAAAUGGACGUCAAGUUACGAGAGAGUUCGUGGUCUCGAGACUCAAAUAUGCAAAUAUUUUUUUUCACCUCCUUUAUAGGAGAUCGAUGUUUAACAUUUAGGAGCCAACCACGAUUUUUCACCUCCUUUACAGGAGAUCGGUAUUAAGCAUUUAUUUCUGACCACGGUAACAGUCGGAAGCUCUCGGACAUUUAGAUAACUUGCAUCGUAAAUGAACGAGGUGUUACAUUAUGGUCAUUUGCACUUUUUUCUUGUGGUCACGUAAUAGUCAAAAUUCAGAAAUCGAUG
RNAcentral lists this long non-coding RNA (654 nucleotides) under Mytilus galloprovincialis (Mediterranean mussel). Lineage: Eukaryota; Metazoa; Mollusca; Bivalvia; Mytilida; Mytilidae. The record is from RNAcentral.